GCUCCGCGGGGCUGUUGCUCCUGCGUCCUCCUCUCUGUGUGAACCCUCGACUGUGAGAGGAAAAGUGCUGAGGAGGCAGACGCAGACGGAGCAGAUGUCCUAGGGAGACUGAUCUUGCUCUUCCCUGUCUUUGCUGAGAACAUUCCCUCCUGUGUGACCUUGGCAGUUACAUCUUGAUUGGAUUUCUUCCCUGGAAGAAGUUCAAAUCUCCUAGGCAUGCUGCGAGGAGAGCUGAAAGCUGAUGGGAAUGAGGGAUGCUGUAAUGAUCAAGUGUCUUAAUACUGAGAAAGGAGUAGAGCUUUACAUUUAUUUUCAUUAACAACAAAGGGCAGAUUGUAAUUCACCAGGCCAAUAAAAAAAAAACCAAACCAUAACAACAACAACAACAACAACAACUGAACAAAUGAACAAACAGACAACUGCCACAGAAGCCUAAGAGAGAUUUGAAAACUCGCUCUUGGGAUUAUCACUUUAAAUACCAGUGUGCCCGUGGAAAGGAUGGUUGGUUCUGUAGCCCCUGCAAACUCGCUGCCAUGGAAACAUCUGGGCUGCAGUGUUAACAGUGAAACUUGUCAGAAAAAAUCAACUCUGGCACAGGGAAGUGACAGCGAAUGGGAAAUAAUUUCGACCAUGGGGGAGCUUCCAUUAAGCAAAGCAUAUGUAAAACUGUCUCAGGAGACAGAAGCAAAUACAGAUGUGUUUCAUUCCUGCAACUGUCCUUAUUAAGAUGGGUAAUAGGGAGAGAGAGAGAGAGAGAGAGAGAGAGAGAGAGAGAGAGAGAGAGAGAGAGAGAGAGAGAGAGAACACACUUUGUUGACUUCCCUUCACGGCCCUUUUUAAAAUAAUCGUUUUGGUUUUAAUAUACGCAUACAUUUGUUAAUUGUUAAAAGCGAACUCUGAGGACACAUUUCCUCUUGCAAGCUGACUUAGUUACACAGUCAAUCAAUUUGAAAGCAAACUUGUAUUGUUUCUCCUUUAGGGUGGAUUCCUCCAAAAAAUUAUCUCCAGAUUUUGGCAGGAGGUAGUUGACUUUCGAGACAGAGAGAAUGAUGGGAACAGGGAGGAAGGGUGGUAGGAAGGACCGGAAUAUUAGGACCUACACCAUUGUCCUUCUGAUCCUUGGUAACUUAGGCCACCAAAAAGAAACAACUCUGCCUUUCAUCUUCAUUUUUGCCUUUAAAAUGGGAACAGCUGUAGGGUAAGGUACAAGGAAGUGCUUUUUGAGUUACAGUGUGGCUGUUACGAGCUGCCACUUUGAAAGUGUUCAUUCCUUUUUCCCAAGGAAGUGGGAACAAGGCUACCUGUUUCCACUGCAAAGCACGGUCACGUCCUGGAGUGAGGUAGCCUUUUCUUAUAGAUGUUUAAGGGAAGGUUCUGUGCCAGGAAUGGCCUGUGUUGAAUCUGAGGGAAUUAAUUAAGCUAUAAUUGCCUGUAGACAAAAUUCUCCACCCUGGAAUGGUCUAUAGGGGAAAGGAGAAAAGGAAGGUAGAUGUUCCAGCAGGAGAAGAAAGGUGAGGGGCAGGUAAAUAUGGCUGAAGGACAGGGAGAAGAGUCAAAAGACACAGUGUGUAUCAAGGCCCUGGGUGGACAGGAUGUCUGCUCACUGAAAUGGAAGAUUGAAAUAGGUUAGUGUGUCUGGGUGGGGAAGGGAAGUGCUGGUUAAGAUGAGGGCCAGGUAGCGCUGGCCUCAAGCCCUGUUAUUCUGAGUGAAGAAGGAAACCAUUGGGAGGGUUUGAAACAGUCCAGUCACACCCAUCGCCUUCCUGGGCUAUGCUACAGAGUCUUUUCUUGAGUGCAAAUCCUAGUUAUUUUUAGAGUACCUUAACACACCCUUUGAAAUCGAUUCGUAGUAGACGGUAAGCUUAAGAGGUUGAUGGUUCUGAAGAAUGGAGGAAUAAGAGAACAGACUGAGGCUUUUUAUCAGGAAGGCAAGCAUGUAAUGAAGAGACAAUCUCUGAAUUUCACUGCGUGCGGAGAAAUGACAUUGUUGGAGGAUUUUGAUAACGUGCUGUAAUCCCCCCCCCAAACAGUCAAGAAUUUACAGAAUACUGUUUUCAGCAAGAAAAAUGCAUAAAACUCGUUUCUAUUAUGC
Rattus norvegicus (Norway rat) is the source of this 2092-nucleotide non-coding RNA. Lineage: Eukaryota; Metazoa; Chordata; Mammalia; Rodentia; Muridae. The record is from RefSeq and is a predicted model, not a curated record.